RNAcentral lists this ribosomal RNA (611 nucleotides) under Arthrobacter alpinus. RNAcentral's name for it is "bacterial SSU rRNA". It matches the Rfam family "Bacterial small subunit ribosomal RNA", at positions 228 to 838 of the family's 1533-position model. Lineage: Bacteria; Bacillati; Actinomycetota; Actinomycetes; Micrococcales; Micrococcaceae. The record is from RNAcentral.
UUGCGGGGCCCUUUCAGCUUGUUGGUGAGGUAAUGGCUCACCAAGGCGACGACGGGUAGCCGGCCUGAGAGGGUGACCGGCCACACUGGGACUGAGACACGGCCCAGACUCCUACGGGAGGCAGCAGUGGGGAAUAUUGCACAAUGGGCGAAAGCCUGAUGCAGCGACGCCGCGUGAGGGAUGACGGCCUUCGGGUUGUAAACCUCUUUCAGUAGGGAACAAGGCCAGACGUUGUCUGGUUGAGGGUACUUGCAGAAGAAGCGCCGGCUAACUACGUGCCAGCAGCCGCGGUAAUACGUAGGGCGCAAGCGUUAUCCGGAAUUAUUGGGCGUAAAGAGCUCGUAGGCGGUUUGUCGCGUCUGCCGUGAAAGUCCGGGGCUCAACCCCGGAUCUGCGGUGGGUACGGGCAGACUAGAGUGAUGUAGGGGAGACUGGAAUUCCUGGUGUAGCGGUGAAAUGCGCAGAUAUCAGGAGGAACACCGAUGGCGAAGGCAGGUCUCUGGGCAUUAACUGACGCUGAGGAGCGAAAGCAUGGGGAGCGAACAGGAUUAGAUACCCUGGUAGUCCAUGCCGUAAACGUUGGGCACUAGGUGUGGGGGACAUUCCACGUU